GUGGGGAAUUUUGGACAAUGGGCGCAAGCCUGAUGCAGCCAUGCCGCGUGUGUGAAGAAGGCCUUCGGGUUGUAAAGCACUUUCAGCGGGGAGGAAGGCGAUAAGGUUAAUAACCUUGUCGAUUGACGUUACCCGCAGAAGAAGCACCGGCUAACUCCGUGCCAGCAGCCGCGGUAAUACGGAGGGUGCAAGCGUUAAUCGGAAUUACUGGGCGUAAAGCGCACGCAGGCGGUCUGUCAAGUCGGAUGUGAAAUCCCCGGGCUCAACCUGGGAACUGCAUUCGAAACUGGCAGGCUAGAGUCUUGUAGAGGGGGGUAGAAUUCCAGGUGUAGCGGUGAAAUGCGUAGAGAUCUGGAGGAAUACCGGUGGCGAAGGCGGCCCCCUGGACAAAGACUGACGCUCAGGUGCGAAAGCGUGGGGAGCAAACAGGAUUAGAUACCCUAGUAGUCC
Molecule: ribosomal RNA, 450 nt
Filed under: uncultured bacterium
Lineage: Bacteria
Description: partial 16S ribosomal RNA
Rfam family: Bacterial small subunit ribosomal RNA
Source: RNAcentral